This 3384-nucleotide long non-coding RNA is filed under the name Cicer arietinum (chickpea). Its description in RNAcentral is "long non-coding RNA (CARI_LNC000993)". The record is from RNAcentral. Lineage: Eukaryota; Viridiplantae; Streptophyta; Magnoliopsida; Fabales; Fabaceae.
UUCUCCACAAAUAUAUAUAACCGUAUAAGAAGCCUAUUCUUCGUCUACCUUUUUUGGGGGCAUGUUCAUUCAAAUAAAUGUUAUCUUUUUCUGCCCCACUAGCGGUGUCGUAAGUGCUUGCAUCACUAAGAAAUGAUCUACAAUUAUAGGUACGUAUUAACACUCUUGUUACUCUUUUAUUUUUGUCAAAUGAUAAUUCAUUAAAAGGCAAAAUGGACCUCACAACUCAGCUGUAUUGAGUCCAAUUACAAGUAGAGUUAACCAACUAACAAACACUAAAAGAUUAAAGAAUAAACAUAAAUCUCUACCAAGUCUCCCUCUUCAUUCUCUUCACCUCUCUAUCUCUCUCACAAUUUAUUUUUUAAAAACGAAUAUUUAAGGGAGAGAUUAAGAAAGAGAAUAAUUGAUGAGAGAGAUUAAGAGUGCAAAGGAAGAGUUGGAGAGAUAAUCUAUUUUCGAUCAUGAUUACAUGUUGUCAGACGCAAAAUUCACAAUAAAAGAUUAAACAAUGAGCAUAAAGUGGCAUUGGGAGCGCUCACUAGUGUUUGUGGUCUUACUUGUAAAAAAGACUAAGUAAAACAAACAAAAUAACAUAUCAUGAAUUGGAUCCUCUCCACCUCUCUAUCUUUCUAAUAAUUUAUUUUAAAAAAUAUUAAAGAGAGAAAAAAGUAAGAAAGAGAAGAAAAAUUGACGAGAGAUAGAGAGUGUAGAUGAAGAGUUGGGGGAGAUGAUCUAUUUACGAUCACAACAUGUUGCUAGACACAAAACACACGUUAGAAGAUUAAACAAUGAACAUAAGUGAUAUUGGGAGCACUCACUAGUACUUGUGGUAUGGCUUGUAAAAAAUGACUAAACAAAACAAACAAAAGAGCAUAUCAUGACUUGGAUCCUCUCCACAAAGACCGACUCUCCAACUUUGUAUCUCAUAAUUUAUUUUUUAAAAAAUAUCGAAGAUAGAAAAAAAAAAGUAAGAAAAAAAAUAAUUGAUGAGAAAGAAAGAGAGGUAGAGAGAGUGCAGAGGAAGAGUUGGGGAAGAUAUCUAUUUUCGAUCAUGAUCACAUGAUAAAAAAUACACACUAAAAGAUUAAACAAUGAGUAUAAAGUGACAUUAUAAGCACUAACUAGUAGGGAUGAGAAUAAGCUAGGCCGUCCGUCAGGGCCUAUGGCCUGGCCUGGCCUGACCUACUUAUUGUCUGGCCUGGCCUGACCUAUUUAAUAAAAAGGCUAGGCUCAUGCCAUUUUUAAAGCCUAUUUAUUUAAAUAGGCCAGACUCGGCUUAUAAAAAAGCUUAUUAGGCCUGAAAGGCCGACCUAUAUAUAUUUUAUUAUUUAUUAAUAUUAUAUUAAUAAUAUUAUUUCCUAUUUUAAAUUUUAUCAAUUAAGCAAUUAUUCGGUAAACAUUCCAUAUUCAGUAGUUGUUCCAUAUUCGGUAGAAUUCCAUAUUUGGUAGUCAUUUCAUAUUUGGUAGUUGUUCAAUUAGUCAAUCACUCAACAAUAUUCCAUAUUUGUUUAAGAGGUAAUAAUGAAUGUGUUUGUUUCAAAAAAAAAUCUAUUAUUUGACACAAAAAAUUAUUUUUUAGGGUUUAAAGGAUGUUUGUUUCAUAUUUUUUAAAAAUUAUUUUAAAUAGGCUUUAAAAUAGGCUUCCAAGCCUGGCCAUACUUUUAAAAAUGUCAGGCCAGACCGAAAAAAAGCUUAUGAUAGGCCGUGGGCCAGACUUAGGCCUUUUAGGGUUUAAAGGAUGUUUGUUUCAUAUUUUUUAAAAAUUACUUUAAAUAGACUUCCAGGCCAGGCCAAACUUUUAAAAAGGUCAGGCCAGACCAGACUUUUAAAAAGGCCAGGCCAGGCCGAAAAAAAAGCCUAUGAUAGGUCGUAGGCCAAACUUAGGCCUAAAAAAUAAAUCGUAGGCCAGACUUAGGCCUUUCAAAGUCUGGUCUGACCUGACCUAUUCCCACCUUUACUAACUAGUACUUGUGGUCUCACUCAUAAAAAUGAUUAAAUAAAGAAAAGAAAAAAACAAAUCAUGAUUGAAUUAUCUCCACCAAGUCUUCUUUUCCACUUUCUCAACCUCUCUAUCUCUCUCCUAAUUUAUCUUAAAAAAAUAUUGAAAAGAGACUAAAAGUAAGAAUAAUUAAUGAGAGAGAUAGAGAGGUAGAGAGAAUGUAGAAAGAGAAUUGGAGAAAAUGAUUCAUUUUUUAUCAUGAUCAAAUGUUAUCAAACACAAAAUACACACUAAAAGAUUAAACAAUGAGUCUGACAUCAUUAGUUACAAAAUGAAAGGAGUUACGUAUAUAUUAAUAAUAUUAAAUGAAAAAUGAUUAGUAAAUAAAUUUUUUCUAUUAACAAAAAAAGGUAUAUCUAAAUUAUAUAUAUAUAUAUAUUAUACUUUUAAAAUUGUGAAGUAAUCUAGGUUACUAAAUACAUCUAUUUUGAUGGAAAAAUAAAACUACAAGGUAGUAAUCAACUAAACUAUAAAUUUAUAAGCCGUGUGGUACAUACUCUUAAUAUUAAAAGAAAUGAAAUUAUUUAAAACUUUUAUUAGUGAAGUACAAAAACAUAAAGCAACUACUAUAGCAUAAAGAAAUACACAUGACUCAUGAAGAUACAAAUGCUUAUAUAUUACUCAAGAAGAUGCCAAGAUUUUUUCAAAAAGAGGCUUCAAAAAAGCCACGAACUUCUCUUGGUGAGGGGUAUUUUCUUUGAUGACUUGAACAUCCUUGAAAUUAUUAAACCAUAAAUGCAAAUGGGGGAACCUCUCAGUUUGCAAAAUUUCCACUUUAAAUGUAAUUUCCAAAACCUCAAUAAAUUUGACAAAAGAUCCGAGAGCUAUGUCUACAAUGUUAAUGUUGUCUCCUCCAUAAAAUUUAUUUUCAUCUUUCAAACAUUGAUCCUCAACAACUCCUAGCCGUUCCCAUAGAUUCUCUUUGGCCUUCUCUCGGUCUUCACUACUUUUGCUACGAAUGAUUGCUGAAAGUGUCGAAAUCUAUAAGUUUGAAUCAAGAUGAGAUUGUUAGAACAUAGAAAGUAAUGUUUAAGAUACAUGGUAAACUCUAUUAGUUAUAGCAAUAAGCAGAACAUGACUUGAAAAGUAAGUAAACACGCACACACAUACAUAAUAAUUAAAUUUUAAAAAAUUGUACCAUUUCAUCGAUAUAUUUAACCCAAAAUCGGGCUUGAGCUCUAUCAUAAGGAUCAGCUGGAAGCAAUGAGUUUUGUGGCCAUAUCUCAUCAAUGUAUUCAACAAUGAUCAUUGACUCACAUAUGGGUUUUCCAUCAUGAACUAGCACCGGAGUCUUCUUGUGUACUGGGUUAUAUUGAAGAAGUUGUGGACUCUUAUUGAAGCGAUCUUCCUCUAUGUUUUCAUAUGGUAUAUCCUUUAAAUUUAAG